Molecule: ribosomal RNA, 470 nt
Filed under: uncultured bacterium
Lineage: Bacteria
Description: bacterial SSU rRNA
Rfam family: Bacterial small subunit ribosomal RNA
Source: RNAcentral
AUUGAACGCUGGCGGCAUGCCUAACACAUGCAAGUCGAACGGCAGCACAGCAGUAGCAAUACUGUGGGUGGCGAGUGGCGGACGGGUGAGGAAUACGUCGGAAUCUGCCCAGUCGUGGGGAUAACUAGCCGAAAGGUUAGCUAAUACCGCAUACGACCGGGAGGUGAAAGCGGGGGACCGCAAGGCCUCGCGCGAUUGGAUGAGCCGACGUCGGAUUAGCUAGUUGGCGGGGUAAAGGCCCACCAAGGCGACGAUCCGUAGCUGGUCUGAGAGGAUGAUCAGCCACACUGGAACUGAGACACGGUCCAGACUCCUACGGGAGGCAGCAGUGGGGAAUAUUGGACAAUGGGCGCAAGCCUGAUCCAGCAAUGCCGCGUGUGUGAAGAAGGCCUUCGGUUGGUAAAGCACUUUAUUCAGGACGAAAAGACGUUGGAUUAAUACUCUGACGUGCUGACGGUACCGUCGAGGAA